CAUUUAUCUUUCCAUGGGUAGAAUUCCUAAAACUAGAAAACUUAGCAGAACUUAAAACUUUCUACCCUGGAAUGCACACUUCAGGAUGGCCCAAUUUAAAGAAGUUGGAAGUGUCUACCUGUGACAAACUACAAAUGUCCACUUCAGAAUACAAGGUUGUUUUACCCAAUUUGGAGGCCUUAGAACUGCAUGGAACCAAUACCGAAAAUAUCUCUCAACUUUUGAAAACAUCUUCUUGCUCCCGAAAGUUGACUCGUUUGGUAUUGGAGGAGUGU
Long non-coding RNA from Pistacia vera, 275 nucleotides. RefSeq lists it as uncharacterized. NCBI's taxonomy places the organism in Eukaryota, Viridiplantae, Streptophyta, Magnoliopsida, Sapindales, Anacardiaceae. The record is from RefSeq and is a predicted model, not a curated record. The transcript has 2 exons.